This 1383-nucleotide ribosomal RNA is filed under the name uncultured bacterium. Its description in RNAcentral is "bacterial SSU rRNA". It matches the Rfam family "Bacterial small subunit ribosomal RNA". The record is from RNAcentral.
AGAGUUUGAUCCUGGCUCAGGAUGAACGCUGGCGGCGUGCUUAACACAUGCAAGUCGAACGGAGUUGUUUCGCUGAGGCGAGCUUGCUCAAUUCUUGAGACAACUUAGUGGCGGACGGGUGAGUAACGCGUGACCAACCUGCCCCCCGCUCCGGGACAACCGCUGGAAACGGCGGCUAAUACCGGACACUCCGGGACCCCCGCAUGGGGGGCCCGGGAAAGCCUUCACGGCGGGGGAUGGGGUCGCGGCCCAUUAGGUAGACGGCGGGGUAACGGCCCACCGUGCCCGCGAUGGGUAGCCGGGCUGAGAGGCUGAUCGGCCACAUUGGGACUGAGAUACGGCCCAGACUCCUACGGGAGGCAGCAGUGGGGAAUUUUGCGCAAUGGGGGAAACCCUGACGCAGCAACGCCGCGUGCGGGAUGACGGCCUUCGGGUUGUAAACCGCUUUCAGCAGGGAAGAUUAUGACUGUACCUGCAGAAGAAGCUCCGGCUAACUACGUGCCAGCAGCCGCGGUAAUACGUAGGGAGCGAGCGUUAUCCGGAUUCAUUGGGCGUAAAGCGCGCGUAGGCGGCUUGCUAAGCGGAACCUCUAACCCGAGGGCUCAACCCCCGGUCGGGUUCCGAACUGGCAGGCUCGAGUGCGGUAGGGGCAAGUGGAAUUCCAUGUGUAGCGGUGGAAUGCGCAGAUAUAUGGAAGAACACCGAUGGCGAAGGCAGCUUGCUGGGCCGUCACUGACGCUGAGGUGCGAAAGCGUGGGGAGCGAACAGGAUUAGAUACCCUGGUAGUCCACGCCGUAAACGAUGGGCGCUAGGUGUGGGGGGAUGACCCUCCGUGCCGCAGCUAACGCAUUAAGCGCCCCGCCUGGGGAGUACGGCCGCAAGGCUAAAACUCAAAGGAAUUGACGGGGACCCGCACAAGCAGCGGAGCAUGUGGCUUAAUUCGAAGCAACGCGAAGAACCUUACCAGGGCUUGACAUGCAGGUGAAGCCGGGGAAACCCGGUGGCCUAACGGAGCCUGCGCAGGUGGUGCAUGGCUGUCGUCAGCUCGUGUCGUGAGAUGUUUGGUUAAGUCCAGCAACGAGCGCAACCCCCGUCGCAUGUUGCCAGCAUUAAGUUGGGGACUCGUGCGAGACUGCCGGCGUCAAGCCGGAGGAAGGUGGGGAUGACGUCAAGUCAUCAUGCCCCUUACGCCCUGGGCUGCACACGUGCUACAAUGGCCGGUACAACGGGCUGCCACCCAGCGAUGGGGAGCGAAUCCCUCAAAGCCGGCCCCAGUUCGGAUCGGAGGCUGCAACCCGCCUCCGUGAAGUCGGAGUUGCUAGUAAUCGCGGAUCAGCAUGCCGCGGUGAAUACGUUCCCGGGUCUUGUACACACCGCCCGUCA